This is a small nucleolar RNA of Crotalus tigris (Tiger rattlesnake), 129 nucleotides long. NCBI's taxonomy places the organism in Eukaryota, Metazoa, Chordata, Lepidosauria, Squamata, Viperidae. The record is from RefSeq and is a predicted model, not a curated record.
ACACAAACUUGAUCACUGGCUCUGCAUGAUUUAACAGAAGCAACGGAACAGGUUUGCUAAAUUAAACAGGAUAACAGAAGUUUAUUAAAUACACCAUAGCAAGGCUGCUUGCUAUAUACCAUGACAACA